This 449-nucleotide unclassified non-coding RNA is filed under the name uncultured fungus. RNAcentral's name for it is "partial contains small subunit ribosomal RNA, internal transcribed spacer 1, and 5.8S ribosomal RNA". The stretch from base 1 to 73 matches the Rfam family "Eukaryotic small subunit ribosomal RNA", at positions 1759 to 1831 of the family's 1831-position model. Lineage: Eukaryota; Fungi. The record is from RNAcentral.
GCAAACUUGGUCAUUUAGAGGAAGUAAAAGUCGUAACAAGGUUUCCGUAGGUGAACCUGCGGAAGGAUCAUUACUGAAUAAAAGGAGUGGUUUUGAAGGGGUUGUCGCUGGUCUCCUCAGAGGCAUUUGCACGCCGCUCGCCACUCUGUCAUUCACCUUUUCCACCUGUGCAUUCUCCUGUAGGCCAGAGAACAGCCAUCUGCAGUUGUCCUUUUUCUUCCCCUUUCCCUACAUGGGGGGAGGGUUGGAGGGGAGGGGGCCACACUUUCUUGGGACCUGCUGUUGCAUUGCGACGGCUUCUCCUGGAGGGCAGAGUUUUUCUCUUGGUCUAUGCGUCUUAUCAAACCCUCCCAUAUUUUUUAUGUAUCGUAUUGGGCUUACUUAAAGCAAUGUAUGGCACAACUUUCAACAACGGAUCUCUUGGCUCUCGCAUCGAUGAAGAACGCAGC